AACGAACGCUGGCGGCGUGCUUAACACAUGCAAGUCGAACGCGAAAGGGACUUCGGUCCUAAGUAGAGUGGCGCACGGGUGAGUAACGCGUAAGUAAUCUACCCCUGUAUUCGGAAUAACCUACCGAAAGGUGAGCUAAUACCGGAUACGUUUAUCUUGAUGCGAAUGAUGAUAAAGAAAGGUGGCCUCUUCUUGAAAGCUACUGUACAGGGAUGAGCUUGCGUACCAUUAGCUAGUUGGUAGGGUAAUGGCCUACCAAGGCUGUGAUGGGUAGCCGGCCUGAGAGGGUGAUCGGCCACACUGGAACUGAGACACGGUCCAGACUCCUACGGGAGGCAG
Molecule: ribosomal RNA, 339 nt
Filed under: uncultured Pseudomonadota bacterium
Lineage: Bacteria; Pseudomonadati; Pseudomonadota
Description: bacterial SSU rRNA
Rfam family: Bacterial small subunit ribosomal RNA
Source: RNAcentral